Long non-coding RNA from Tribolium madens (black flour beetle), 2545 nucleotides. RefSeq lists it as uncharacterized. Lineage: Eukaryota; Metazoa; Arthropoda; Insecta; Coleoptera; Tenebrionidae. The record is from RefSeq and is a predicted model, not a curated record. The transcript has 6 exons.
UCAGAAGUAAUUUUGAAUGCCUAGGGUUGGUUACCCCUUGUUGUUGACGGUUGACGUUUUCUGUCAACCUGCUGUCAACUAUCAAUUAAGUUAUCCAUACAAGGUAACAGGUGAUUUAAACUAAUAAAUUUUUGACACUAGUUACCAUAUCUUUUGUUUGUCACUACAAACCAACCUAACCAAAUUUAUGGUUCACGAAUAUUCCUAGGGAGUAAUUUCUUGUUGAUACAAUAAUAUUUCUGAUAAUUCUAGUUACAAAUAACAUGAAAAACGUAAUUUUCCUAGAAGUUAAAAUCCUAGGUGGUAAUUUCUUGUUGACAAAUCUAUAUGUAAAACUGGUUUCAACGUUGCAGUUAUUAUCAGCUCGCAGACAAGACGAAAGUAUUGGAUUUUCUAGCAAAUGAGGGCGCAUUAUCUCGACCAUUUGGUGGCACGGGUUUUGCAUAUCCAUAAAUUCUAAUGCCUCUUGUCCAAUAUCUGCAAUCCUCUGAACUAUACCAACGAACAUACCUAGAGCUGGGAUAAAAUAGUCCUCCACGAUCCUGAAUAUUGACAAGUUGUAAUAAAGGACCAGGCACAGUAAAUGUACGUUUUCUAUAUUGGGAAGCUAGAUAGCAGGUAGGGAUGGUACAGUAGCAGAGCUAACGAAGCUUGCAUUUACGGACGUCGAAGCUUUAAUUAUGCCACAUCGCAAAAUUUGUCGCAUAGCAUAUUCGGCUGCCCUGGCAUCAGUGGCGUCGUUGGAACCUCCCUUUAAUCUUACAUGUGAGAACAUGGUUUCAACACAAUCAGAACUGAAUGAUCUUGUGAGCACAUAAUAAAAUUCGACUUCAUUCAGUAAAUAUUUUAGGUCGUCGAACUUUGCUGAAUGUCAGCAACGUACUCUUGAAAGGUGGUAUUCAACCAGUGAAGAUGUUCAUCCGAAAUGUGGACAAAAGGCGCCUCACUACUAUCCAAAGUGUUAAUGUAUUGGUACCUUCUUGAAACAUUAUGUCCUUAAAAAGUGGAAUCUUAAUGCUGCCGUUACCGAUGGAGAAAAAACUUGAAUGGCUCUUCGCCCAUACAUUUUCUCAAAAAUUGUGCGAAUUAAAUGCUUCUUGGUCAAAUGGUUAACAGAAAUUAUCCCUUCUGAUGAACCCAUAUCGUGAUCAAGGAAAAUACUUCAGGCAUUUUUUACUACAUACACAAAGUCAAAACUCAAAAAUAAUGUGGAAAUGGAAUGUGGAAUAAAUUUUGAUGACAUCCAUUGCCAAGUUUUUUGAAAAGGCCAACAUUUCCAGAAAAGUUGUUUGUUACAAGUCUCAAAACUAUAAAAUUACAGUCUGUUAGCAGUUGCAACAUUUUUAAAGUAAUGGAAUGGAAAUCUUUUGCCGUUAAGUUGCGUGGAAAAAGUAUCCAGCUGGAAUUGUGAACUGAGUUGACAAUUCAUGGACAACAUAACAUAGCAUUUUACUGGCUAUUUUCUGCUUUUCACCAAUCGUUCCUGAACUGCAGGUAUCUAAACCAUACACAUAAUAUUCUGAACGACUGUAGUGCAUUUUCUCUUUAAUUGACAUGUCAUCAAUUACUAAAGAAGAUAUUCGUUCAAUAGGAUGCCUAAACUGAAAUACUUCGGUACACAGGCGUUCUUUGAUUAAUUUAUUUUGACCGUUGAAUUUUCCAAGAUGUCUCAAGAUUGUUGAUUUCGAAGUGAAACGGACUCACGUAAUGGUUGCUUUGGAUUGGGAAUUAUUUCGUAAAUAGAACAGCUUAAAAUGAAGGUGGGAACUGCAUUUACGAGGGUGGAUCCCUAUGCUGCACCCCUGACCCCUUUACAGUCAAACUACAUCUCAACAGUUCCUGGAAAAAGUUUUCGCCGACCUCUGUUUCCACUCUUUACUUUGCAGUUUUGGUUUGGGAUCAUAGUGGUGCACCCAUGACUCCUCUAGUGUCACAUACCGACUAAGAAAGUUCUCUUUGUUUGCUUGGUACUUUUCCAAAAGACGCUUACAAGUAAACACCCGAUUUCAUUUUUGAUCACAUUCGGGGCACCCAUUUUGCACUCAUCUUUUUCAUACCUAAUUCUUUAUUCAGUAUGUGGUGCACCACAUGAUAUGAUAAGCCAGUAUCUUCCACAAUGUUUGUGAUGCGUACUCAUCGGUCUUGCAGUACGAUAUCGUGUACCUUUUUAAUGUUUUUGUCUGUUGUUACCGUUAUGGGAGGACCACCGACAUGCUGGUUUUACAGGAUGUUCUUCCGCAUUUAAAAUCUCGACACCAAUGUUUGACUAUGUCAUAAGAAACUGCAGACUCCUCAAUAGUUGCCACAAUGUCUUCAUGAUUAUGAAUACAAAAUAGUAAUCAAAAAAUGUAAAACAUAAAAAUGUAUACUAUAAAAAUAGAGUAAAAUAAGAAAUAAAAGGUAAACAAGAAAUAAUGACCUUUGUUAUAUAAAGUGUGUAAAAACUACAAACAGCAAACAAAACAUGAAUUUUUUUUUGUUUCAGAACUUUUUAUAAGUUAAAAGAUAUGUGUUUAGCUCAAAUUAAAAAGAACAAGGAACAAAA